AUGGAGUCGGUUGUACUGAUACUACACACUGCACUUUGUUGUGCAGAUACUGGAGUUGGUCCUAGCGGCGCACAUUAGACUUGCUUAGAUUCAGCUAUUCACAGGAGACUUAAGGGUAAUGAGGGAGGUUAAAAAGCAUGCACACGAAGAAAGGCGCUUGAUCGCGAGAUAUUUUGUUCAAGAGUUUGAAGAGAAAGAUUGAUCUGUUGUUGUGGAAGAUGUUGUAAGAAAAGUCAAGGAACAUCCCCAUACACGGAUGGGCUACAAUUUGGAAUUUGCUUCUUUAUAUGCAUGAACAUGGAACAAGAAGAAUUAAGUCAUAUGGAGAUAGGUAAGUGGAUUGAGCCGGAGGUCUAUUGGAAACAACCUCUCUACCUUCACAAGGUAGGGUAAGGUCUGUGUACACUUUACCCUCCCCAGACCCCAAUAUGUGGGAUUACACCGGAUUUUUUGCUGUUGUUGUUUUAGAUAGGUAAGCGGGAGCUAGAAUGUCGUUUUAGAUAGGUAAGUGGGAGCUAGAAUGUCAGCAGCAGAUGUAACUAUUAUUUUCAGCCGGCAUUUCCUGUAUAUAACGAGUACAAAACACAUUGUCUUUUCGGAAUGAAAUGGACCCUUGGAGCACCUAUGUAGAGUACUUGACCAAUGCCACCAUCAGUCUUGUGAAUCAAGGGAGACAGUCAUACAGAAAUAGCAGUGAGAUAGUGGGAAUGAAAGAAAAUGCCUACACGAGUCCUUUUCUCAUUGUUGUAUGUUUAAGUUGGAGUACAUGGGAUAAGUUUCAAAGAGACAUUGUGCUUUGUCAUCUUUGUGUUUGGAAAAGCUCAACGGAGCUGCUUUUCAAUUAAACUUCUAGAUAGAUCUCGACCUGUCCUAAACCAGUAUUCGAUCUCUGCUCUGCUGCCAUUUGUUGAACCAUUGGCACAGUGGAACUGAAAAGAAGAACGCGUCCAUGCUGUCCUUGUCCAAUCACUGUACAUUAAGUUUGAGAACAUGAGAUGAGUAUCAAGGAGAAAUUCGCGUUUGGAGCUACUCACUCUAAGUCUAAGGAGCUGCCUUUCAAUUAAACACAUACAUUUCGUUAUCAAGGAAGAUGCUAUCUUUUAUUUGCUUUGUGAAUUUAACUUUGUAUUUGGAUCACAAAGUGAAAGAUAUGGUAUCUGAAUUUUCGAAAGUGUGAGGAAGCUAAACCAUAUAUCUUUAAAUGGCAUAUAUCUUUUUUAGAUUCUGCUGGGGCAUUGAAAUCUUGUUGCAUGAUACUGUUAGAAGUGUUACCUCCAAAUAUAAUGUACAAUAUAUGGGGGGAUUUUCCCCCUUUUUUAGAUCUUCUUUA
Nicotiana tabacum (common tobacco) is the source of this 1330-nucleotide non-coding RNA. The record is from RefSeq and is a predicted model, not a curated record. NCBI's taxonomy places the organism in Eukaryota, Viridiplantae, Streptophyta, Magnoliopsida, Solanales, Solanaceae.